GAAAGGGAAAGGAUGAGGAAACAUCUUCACUCCAUCCCUGGCUUCCACCAAACAUUCACAUUCUUUCUCUUCCACUUUUUUACUACACUUCAUCUAUGACUCCCUUCUGUCUCAUGUAACCAGAGUUUAUAAAGAUAGUACUGUCUUCUAGGAUGAUUAGCCCCAAUUGCCUAUAUACAUAUCUACAAAGAAAUGUUUGUAUAGGAUUGUGUCUACAUAAAUGCACAUACAUAUAUGUAAAACAUAUACAUAUAAACAGAUUUUCAUUUAUACCUGGAUGCAAAUAUGCAUUCUUAUGUAUUGGAGCUACUUCAGUUGUUUCCUUGCUGUCUUAAUGUAAGUAACUCAGAUAACUUGGACCCAAUUGGGCAUUCAUAGUUCAUGCUUGUAAUACUGGUUAUGCUAUUCAGGAGGUUGAGAUCUGAUUAUCCUGGUUUGAAGCCAGCCCAGGCAGGAAAGUCCCUGAGACUCUCAGGACUGGACUGGAGCCAUGGUUGAGUGCUAGCUGUGAACAUGCAAAUGGAGUGUGCGGUCCUGAGUGGGCAAAUAAUAAUGGUAAUAGUAAUUACCUGGACCCGUCAAUGGCUUUAUGAAAGAAAAUGUGAGCAGCACUGUGGUCUUGUGGUUAAAAGCAGAUGCUUUGGGACUUAGGAUGACCAGGCUUAGCUUUCAUUUCUACUCUUUUGUCCCUGGCAAGUGUCCUGCCCACCUAAAUUCUCUUUAAAUAGUGAUUAAAAACUCAUCAGGUCCAAAUGAGGAAUAAAUAACCAAAUGUAUAGAAAUACUUAGUGCUGUUAAUGAAUAUAGAAACUAUUUGAUAACUGGUAGUUUGUUGGUGGCUGUGAUGGUGAUUUUAAGGAAGUUUUAGAGUUUGGCUCAGUGUUUCUUUAAGAAAAUACUGCAAUAGGGACAUAGUCAUUAAUAUAAUCAAUUUCAGUCUGUAUAUAUUGGUCCCCCUAAAGAUACUUCUUCCAAAUUGUAUUUUGUAUGAGAACUCUCAGAGAAUGAUUAUGUCAUCCCUCUAAAUUGAGCAGCAUUAUCUCAGCACUUCUGGAAGUGUGUUAAUGAGACUUCUCUCUACUUCUCAGUGCCCCAGGGAAAUUUGAUUAAAAGAAUUUGUUUAUCCAUGAAAAA
Long non-coding RNA from Perognathus longimembris pacificus (Pacific pocket mouse), 1134 nucleotides. RefSeq lists it as uncharacterized. Lineage: Eukaryota; Metazoa; Chordata; Mammalia; Rodentia; Heteromyidae. The transcript is spliced from 2 exons. The record is from RefSeq and is a predicted model, not a curated record.